AAAGCUCAAUUUAAAAUCUGGCAGUGUUCUACUGUCCGAGUUGUAAACUAGAGAAGUGCAGCCUGUGCUGGACCGUGUACAAGUCUUCUGGAAUGAAGCAUCACAGAGGGUGAUAAUCCCGUCUUUGACAUGGACUACCAGUGCAUUGUGGUUGUGCGCUCAACGAGUCGAGUUGUUUGGGAAUGCAGCUCUAAAUGGGUGGUAAAUUCCAUCUAAAGCUAAAUACUGGCGAGAGACCGAUAGCGAACAAGUACCGUGAGGGAAAGAUGAAAAGAACUUUGGAAAGAGAGUUAAACAGUAUGUGAAAUUGUUGAAAGGGAAACGUUUGAAGUCAGUCAUGUUGGCUGGGGAUCAGUUUGGCUAAUUUGCCUUGUGUAUUUCCUGGUCGACGGGUCAACAUCAGUUUUGACUGCCAGAGAAAGGCCGAGGGAAUGUGGCACCUCUGGGUGUGUUAUAGCUCUUGGUUGUAUGUGGUAGUUGGGACUGAGGAAAGCAGUGCGCCGCAAGGCAGGGUUUCGACCACGUUCGCACUUGGGAUGUUGGCAAUAAUGGCUUUAAGCGACCCGUCUUGAAACACGGACCAAGGAGUCUAACAUGCAUGCAAGUGUUUGGGUGGAAAACUCUGACGCGUAAUGAAAGUGAAAGUUGAGAACCCUGUUGUGGGGAGCAUCGACGCCCGGACCAGAACAAUUGGGACGGAUCUGCGGUAGAGCAUGUAUGUUGGGACCCGAAAGAUGGUGAACUAUGCCUGAAUAGGGUGAAGCCAGAGGAAACUCUGGUGGAGGCUCGUAGCGAUUCUGACGUGCAAAUCGAUCGUCG
Molecule: ribosomal RNA, 819 nt
Filed under: Amanita ravenelii
Lineage: Eukaryota; Fungi; Basidiomycota; Agaricomycetes; Agaricales; Amanitaceae
Description: eukaryotic LSU rRNA
Rfam family: Eukaryotic large subunit ribosomal RNA
Source: RNAcentral